AAAUACAGAAAUACAGAAAUACAGAAAUACAAAUACAGAAAUACAAAUAGCAGAAGUACAAAUGCAGAAAUACAAAUGCAGAAAUGUGGUUUAUUUCCAUGUGAAAUGGGAGGAACUGAGGGAAAAACCAUCAUUUUUUUGGUUAUUUCAGUGGCCUUGGUGAGAUAAAGUAUGAAAAUCAUGUGGGAGGAUAUUCAAAAUAUCUCUGAUUUUGGCUGGAGUGUCCUGUAAAGGCUCUUUAGCAAUUUGGGAGGAGCAGGUCUAAAAGAACCCUCUAGAUUUUGAUUUAUUUAUAUAUUUUAAACCUGAUUUCUGAGCUCUGAGAUGUGGAACCAUUUGGAAAAUCCUUCAUGAGGAUUAUUUUGCAAAUGUUUGUUAUCUCCUGUCUUCCUGUGGGGAACUGGUAUUUUUAUACAGGAAUUUCUAUUUUUACUGUUCAAACCAAGAAUUCAUCAAACAAAGUUGGAGAGGCACAAGUAGACUUGAAAAUUGUCUCAAAAUAAGAGUUUUUGUCAUUAAAUCUUACCUGAACUCAACAUUAUUGAAAUGACUUUGCUCUGUUUCCCUCUGUGGUUUGGGAUUUGAUUUCAGUGUGGUCUGGGUUUAAUUUUCCCUCUUCCAGCUACUCUGAUUUUGAUCUUGACUAAGUGAUUUAAUCCCUGAGAUUACAAUUUGAGUUAAUUUGUGAUUAUCCUAAUUUAUGUCCAGGAGCUGUGUUAAAAUUAAAUGUCUGCUGCCAUUGUUUUUUAGCAGAAUUUUUUUACUGAUCAACUUAAUUACCAAUUUUCCAUGAAUAUUUAGUGGUUGAAUAUUUAAAAUUAUAUAAAUAAAAUAAUUCUUCAACACAGAAAGAACCAGUUCAAAAACACCCAUGUAUUUACAAGACUUUUUGGGGGCUGGUUUUAAAAUACAUUUAUUUCCAGUUGUCAUUUAUCACCUGUUUUAUUACAGGACCAAAUUAAAAAAUAAAAAUUAAAAAAGGGUUCAGUAAAUGGAAUGAAGUGAAAGUAAAUAGAAUGAAAUGAAAAUAAAUGGAGUUAAAUGAAAGUAAAUGGAAUGAAAUGAAAGUAAAAGGAAUAAAACUGAAAUAAAUGGAAUAAAAUCAGUUGAAGCCUGGUGCAGAGUGAGGGAAAAUGGAUGCAUGACAAAAAGAAAAUGCAGAGAGGUGAUGGCAGGUAGGAGUGGUGCAGAAAAGAUGAAUAUUCAGGGAUCUGUGGCCCAGCCAGGGUAGGUUAAUUCUGAAUUCCAGGCUGGAUUUUGGAGUUCUGGUGUCACCUGGGGACUGUGAGUCACUGCAGAGUUGAGCAAGGGCUGAUUUCAGCCUCCAGGAAUCCUGGCAGGGCACAGGCUGUGCCUGCCCAGGGCUGCCAGGAUCUGGGGGAGAGGUGAAUUCAGAGCUGAACCUGCCACCUGCAGCCUGGGAAGAGCUUUUCUUGGUGCUUUCACCAUUUCUCAGGUGUGUCCUGAGCAAAGAGAAACUGGAAUUCUCCAGCCAAGUUUUCAGUACAGGCUGAAUUUUUGGUGUUGUUUGAGCUCCCUGGCUGGUGAAAAUCACCUGGAGGGAAUGUGGGAGUGCUGUGCUAUCAGCUGGGUGCAUCUGAAGCAAAGCAAUCAAAUAGUUAAUAUUAAAAAACUGCAUUUCUGCCUUUCAGAUUGGCACAGCAGGGGUUGCAUUUCAUGGCUGACAUUAGCCAGGCUCUUCCAGCUCCUGCUUCUUUCACAUCCUGCUUUUCAUCCCUCCUCCCUCCUCAAGGGUUUUUUAAUGCAGCUCAUUCUCAGUGUGGUUAAUAAGCAAAUUUGUCAUCUGCUUAUUUUUGUCUUUGCUUCCCCUCCCCCCAGCCCUCCCUCCUGCUCAGCCCAAAUUACCAGGAAUUGCAGAUAAUGCUCCUGUGAAUUAUCCUUUGCUGCAGGGCAGCUCUGCAGUCCCUGGGCCAAGCUGACUUCACUUGUGUGACUAACAAAAUAAAAAUAAAAAUUAAAAAAAAAAAAA
Long non-coding RNA from Oenanthe melanoleuca, 1990 nucleotides. RefSeq lists it as uncharacterized. The record is from RefSeq and is a predicted model, not a curated record. The transcript has 2 exons. Lineage: Eukaryota; Metazoa; Chordata; Aves; Passeriformes; Muscicapidae.